AACGAACGCUGGCGGCAGGCCUCAAACAUGCAAGUCUAGGGGGUGCAGCAAUGCAUCACCGGCGGACGGGUGCGUAACGCGUGGGAAUAUACCUUUUGGUUCGGAACAACCGCGGGAAACUGCAGCUAAUACCGAAUGUGCCCUAACGGGGAAAGAUUUAUCGCCAAAGGAUUAGCCCGCGUAGGAUUAGCUAGUUGGUGAGGUAAUGGCUCACCAAGGCUCCGAUCCUUAGCUGCUGAGAGGAAGAUCAGCCACACUGGGACUGAGACACGGCCCAGACUCCUACGGGAGGCAGCAGUUGGGAAUCUUGGACAAUGGGGGAAACCCUGAUCCAGCCAUGCCGCGUGAGUGAUGAAGGCC
This 360-nucleotide ribosomal RNA is filed under the name uncultured bacterium. RNAcentral describes it as "bacterial SSU rRNA". It matches the Rfam family "Bacterial small subunit ribosomal RNA", at positions 29 to 416 of the family's 1533-position model. The record is from RNAcentral.